AGCGAACGCUGGCGGCAGGCCUAACACAUGCAAGUCGAACGAACCUUUCGGGGUUAGUGGCGGACGGGUGAGUAACACGUGGGAACGUGCCUUUAGGUUCGGAAUAACUCAGGGAAACUUGUGCUAAUACCGAAUGUGCUCUUCGGGGGAAAGAUUUAUCGCCUUUAGAGCGGCCCGCGUCUGAUUAGCUAGUUGGUUGAGGUAAUGGCUCACCAAGGCGACGAUCAGUAGCUGUUCUUAGAGGAUGUUCAGCCACAUUGGGACUGAGACACGGCCCAAAAUCCUACGGGAGGCAGCAGUGGGGAAUCUUGCGCAAUGGGCGAAAGCCUGACGCAGCCAUGCCGCGUGAAUGAUGAAGGUCUUAGGAUUGUAAAAUUCUUUCACCGGGGACGAUAACGACGGUACCCGGAGAAGAAGCCCCGGCUAACUUCGUG
Molecule: ribosomal RNA, 434 nt
Filed under: uncultured bacterium
Lineage: Bacteria
Description: partial 16S ribosomal RNA
Rfam family: Bacterial small subunit ribosomal RNA
Source: RNAcentral